This is a non-coding RNA of Malus domestica (apple), 2742 nucleotides long. The record is from RefSeq and is a predicted model, not a curated record. NCBI's taxonomy places the organism in Eukaryota, Viridiplantae, Streptophyta, Magnoliopsida, Rosales, Rosaceae.
AUAAAAAUAAAAAGGAUCAGCCAAUGAGGAAAGGAAAUCCCCCCUCCAUUAUGGAUCCGUGCACCACCAUCAACCCGGUUUAAUUCCGGCGAAUUUCGCCAUUUUUUUCGUUGAAUCACCACCAUCCAACACCUCCAAAACACUCAGUGAUUUCCCAUCUUCCAUCUCCACCCAAAUUUGAGGGUAUUUAAGUCCAAAAUCGUGUAAAACCGUGCGGGUGACCCAUGGAGAUUUGACGGCGAUUCCGCCAUUCCGGCUAGUUUCACCACCCACCACCAGAAUCAACUACCCUUGGACCCAGGAACAAGACCCAAUCAGUUGUAGGGGUGUUGGAACAUCGAGGAAGUCGAAUCGAAGAACACCCAUCUAAGGGUUUCCGGCAGGUUUGAGCGAAUUUGGGGUUUUUCCCGACCAAAUCGAAGAACACCCAUCUUUCAGUAGUUUUAAAUUUUGCGUUUGAAUAUAAUUGUCCUACGAGUGAUAGAGUUUUGGACGUCCAUCAUUUGUUGCUUUUAAAUAAUCCGCAGACUUCUGUCUAUUUGACUUUUGCAGUGUGUAAGAUUAUUUUUUAUUUUUUUAUUUUUUUUUGAACAAUUGGAUGUUUGUGGUAUGAAUGAGUAUUGAUUCUUGAAUUGACAAGUACUCUUGGGAGGAAGUGCAGAUCAUGUGUUUUAUCAUUAUCCUAUAGCCUUAUAUGUGUAGCUGAGAUUGUGUAGGGAAGGAAAUUGUAUUGUUCAUGUAUGCAGGAAGAAAUUGUAUUGUUCAUGUAGUCUGGUUUUUAUUGUUGUCCGUUUUAUGGUGGGGGACAACUUAACCGAAGAGAUUGCAUUUUGUUGAGGAGAUUAGGUAGGCAAUUAAAGCAUUCCUUCUUAUGCACCAUAAUGGUGAUGAAAUAAAGAUCCAAAUUUGGUUGAAGAAUUGAGGAGGGGGGGAGUGGGCAUGGGAAGAACUUAUCCUGUGUGUAAAUUUAGGCCACAUUUUUUGAAGAUAAUUUUAUAUUACUGUAUGCUCAGAAUAUUUUAAAAGGCAUUUGACUAAAAAAAUGUAAGAAUUUUGUAUCUAGCUACUAACAUAAGGAAAUGAUGUUUUAAACUUUCAGUUUUUGAAUGCUGAUUCUGCAUAUUUGCUUUAAUCUGUUUACCAUUUGGUAUAAGGAUUUGUACAAGAGCAGAUGCGACAAUCGCCUUACUGAGAUCACAGAAAGGGCCUCUGCUGAUAGAUGUGAGGCUGAGUCCCUGGCUAAGAAAUAUGAAGAGAAAUACAAACAAGCUGGAGAUGUAGCUUCCAAGCUGACUAUUGAAGAAGCCACAUUUCGUGAUUUACAGGAGAAGAAAAUGGAGCUAAACAGGGCAGUUGUCAAGAUGGAUCGAGAAGGUGAUGCUGAUGCGCACUUCAGGAUCGUGUUGAUCACAUCCAAUUAGAUCUUGAUGGGCUUGUGAAAACUCUCAAUGAGCACUGCAAGAAUAUGGACUAGGCGGAAAGCCUACAACAUUAACUGAGCUUCCCUUUAGCUGGCAACCUGGCUUCCAAGAAGGACCUGCUGACUGGGAUGAGGAUUGGGAUAAGUUUGAAGACAAAGGAUUUGCUUUUGUCAAGGAGCUCACUCUUGAUGUGUUAAAUGUCUUGGCACCUCCAAAAAAGAAUCAUCAUCAGUUCAGAAAGAAAAAGCUCUCCCAGUUGAGAAUCCAACAACUGCUGCUUCACCUGAAGUUGAUGUUAAGACAGAAAAGCCUCAAAGUGUGGAUGCCAACCAAAUCAGGACUGGGUCAUCAGACUCAUCACAAGGAGGUGGCUUUUCCCAGAAGAGCUGCCCUUUUACUUUCGACGAUUUUGUUCCUAGGACACCACUCUCAGCCUUCAAUUCAGGAUAUUCACCGCCAAGGUACAAGGAUAGUUCAGAACCUUCAUUUGACACCUUCUCUAGGUUUGAUACGUUCAGAAGCACACAAGAUACUGGAUUUUUUCCCUCAACCAGAAACAUUCGGAAGAUUUUGAGUCUAUGCGCAGCAAUAGAGAGUUUUCCAACAUUUGAUGACAUCCCAGACCCUUUUGGCUCUUCGGUGCCAUUUAGGUCAUCGCUGGACAGUCAAACUCCAAGAAGAGACUUGGACCCCUUUGGAUCUUCAGGGCCAUUUCGGAUGGCACUCGACGGUCAAACUCCAAGAAAGAAUCAGAUUUUUUCGAGUCUUUAGUGCCAUUUUGGACAUCAUUCGACAGUCAUAACUCCUAGAGGAGACUCGGAUGCAUUUGGGUCUACUCCAUUUAGGACAUCAUUCGACGGUCAAACUCCAAGAAGAGACUUGGACCCAUUUGGGUCUUCAGGGCCUUUCCGGAUGAUAAUGGAGACUCCGAGAAAAGACUACUCACUGGAGUGCAUUUUAACCGGGACAUUUGACUUCAUUUGGAGAAAAACGUGAUCAAACGGAUGAAUUUUGGAGUAAUUCCAAUUGGAGGAUGUUCAUGUGCCUUUCAAAAUGAUUGUAUCAAAAUUCUAGAUUUUUCUACCAAGCCGUUUGACCGUGGCGAUGAAAUAAAGGUCCAGCGUGCAGCUUUUCUAGAUUGACAUUUGUAGACGUUUUGGGUAUUUUAGAGGUCAAGAUGGCGUAUUUUGAAAAAGAUUCCUUCUAAAAAUUUGUAGGGAACGUCUUCAGCUUUAUAAAGAGACAUUUUGAGACCAAAUCGGAGUUGAUUUGGUUGGUCAUAUAAGAUUGAUUUUAUGAGAAUUCCGAAUUUUAGUUCAAA